GUCCUAGCCGUAAACGAUGGGCACUGAGUGUCGGCCGAUCGACCCGGUCGGUGCUGCAGCUAACGCGUUAAGUGCCCCGCCUGGGGAGUACGACCGCAAGGUUGAAACUCAAAGGAAUUGACGGGGGCCCCGCACAAGCGGUGGAGCAUGUGGUUUAAUUCGACGCAACGCGAAGAACCUUACCCAGGCUUGACAUUCCAGGGACAGCCUCAGAGAUGGGGUCUUCCUUCGGGACCUUGGAACAGGUGCUGCAUGGCUGUCGU
Molecule: ribosomal RNA, 263 nt
Filed under: uncultured bacterium
Lineage: Bacteria
Description: partial 16S ribosomal RNA
Rfam family: Bacterial small subunit ribosomal RNA
Source: RNAcentral